Molecule: non-coding RNA, 513 nt
Organism: Lupinus albus (white lupine)
Lineage: Eukaryota; Viridiplantae; Streptophyta; Magnoliopsida; Fabales; Fabaceae
Source: the annotation of a GenBank genome assembly
CCAGCGGAUCGGAUCUAGCCUGAAGAGUGACUGUCCGGAAAACAAAACCAGACCCGAUGUCGGAGUAGGAUUCCCAUCUACCAGUAGCUAACCUAUCACUGCUAAUUCAAUCAAGUAAAAGAACAUUACAAGCCAGAAAGAAAGGAAAGGUGGUUGCUGUGAGGCGGAAAAAGAAGAUCACUGUGAAACUGAGCCAGUACCAACCAAACCACCUUGAAUGUUAGGGAUGGGAUAGCUAGCUGAUUGAAUAGACUAGCUACCUCCCAAUCAGGUAGACCAGACAGGCAAAGAGCCGCCUCCUUUGAGCCUACCGUCCUACCGCCCCUUCUCCUAUACCUGGCUGCUUCUCGCUCACCAAAGCAUACUUCGUUCGUUUCCCGGGACGAGCGGCUCCUUCUUUCUUCCUUCUAAUUGAUAAGAAAGCGGUUUUUCUUUUCCCUAUCUUCCCUGACCUUAGAUGGAUCAAGAAAUGCUUAAGGAAAAGGCGCCCUAGAAGCUGACGCGUCAGUCCGC